GUCCACUCCUCCUCUCUUCACUGUAGCCACAGGUAUUUCCUGAGUAGAUCCCCAGCACCCUGCCUCUGUCCCUGUCCACUCCUCCUCUCUUCACUGUAGCCACAGGUAUUUCCUGAGUAGAUCCCCAGCCCCCUGUCCCUGUCCCUGUCCACUCCUCCUCUCUUCACUGUAGCCACAGGUAUUUCCUGAGUAGAUCCCCAGCCCCCUGCCUCUGUCCCUGUCCACUCCUCCUCUCUUCACUGUAUCCACAGGUAUUUCCUGAGAAGAUCCCCAGCCCCCUGCCUCUGUCCCUGUCCACUCCUCCUCUCUUCACUGUAUCCACAGGUAUUUCCUGAGAAGAUCCCCUGCACCCUGCCUCUGUCCCUGUCCACUCCCCCUCUCUUCACUGUAGCCACAGGUAUUUCCUGAGAAGAUCCCCAGCACCCUGCCUCUGUCCCUGUCCACUCCCCCUCUCUUCACUAUAGCCACAGGUAUUUCCUGAGUAGAUCCCCAGCCCCCUG
Long non-coding RNA from Oncorhynchus tshawytscha (Chinook salmon), 500 nucleotides. NCBI's taxonomy places the organism in Eukaryota, Metazoa, Chordata, Actinopteri, Salmoniformes, Salmonidae. The record is from Ensembl.